AUGCCUCCAAAGCAGUAUGAAGGUCCUGCCAGCUACGCUCUUACCAAAGAAGAGAAGGAAAUCUUCUUUGAAUGCCUGCUUAGUAUGAAGGUCCCGACUGGCUUCUGGUCGAAUAUAAAGGGAAUAAUAAAUAUGGCAGAGAAAAAGUUUCAGAACCUAAAGUCUCAUGACUGCCACGUGAUUAUGACGCAACUGCUUCCGGUUGCAUUGAGGGGGCUUCUACCGGAAAACGUCCAAUUAGCCAUUGUGAAGCUAUAUAUGUGCAUUCCUCAAUGCAAUCUCUCAGAAGGUGAUCGAUCCAGAAAUCAUACCAAGGCUAAGGAGUAA
RNAcentral lists this ribosomal RNA (327 nucleotides) under Triticum aestivum (bread wheat). Its description in RNAcentral is "partial small subunit ribosomal RNA". The record is from RNAcentral. Lineage: Eukaryota; Viridiplantae; Streptophyta; Magnoliopsida; Poales; Poaceae.